This 2676-nucleotide long non-coding RNA is filed under the name Zea mays. RNAcentral describes it as "long non-coding RNA (ZMAY_LNC003231)". The record is from RNAcentral. Lineage: Eukaryota; Viridiplantae; Streptophyta; Magnoliopsida; Poales; Poaceae.
UCCGCAUGCGCCGACAUCCUCUGCCCUAAUGCCGUAGUCCAUCGCCGAGAACACAGAGAGAGGAGUGGAGGUCUACGGCGCCGCCGACGUCGUCUGUGGCCAUCACUGUCGUUCAGUACUCGCGUAAAGAUUUCGGGGAAGCUUCGUGCCGUGAGGGACCUGGGCGGACCUCUCUCGCAUGGGAAUUUGGCUGGACUCGCCGGGAAUUUCUCUCCGUCGCUCACGGUUCGCCGCCGACCACAUCACGACGUGGCCAGACUCAUCCGACCGCUCCUACACCGGUAAGACUCCUCCUGUGUGCCUCGCCUAGUUCCGCGGUCAACGUAGCACUCGUCUGGUAGGGAUUACAGCUCGGAUGCCUGGUUCUGCAUGUUCCGAUGAGGUCGCUACCGUAGCCUGGUGACCGUCGUGCUCGCUCUGGUGCGCGUAGGGUCGACGAUGAGGGCGCAACCGUUGGAUUCAGCAAACGGUUUAGAUUACAUGGAUGAGGCUAGUGAACCAGAGCCGUUGAUUUUUCAGCACAUGGCCACGAUUAGACCAUAGGUACCGAUUCGUAUAAACGAACCCGGUGCGUUGAUCGGCCUCUGGACGCGUAAUAUUGCGUCGGUGGAUUUUAAAUUAGAGUCGUUGUUCGGCCAAUGGGUGGCGUGGAUCCGAGCCAGUCUAACCCCUUCACGCGAUGUAAUCUGGAUCGUCCAGAUCUAAUCCAAUGGCCUGUGUCCUGCGAUACCCCUUCGCAAGCACGUUUUGCAUAAGAAACCCUACAGUUCGGGGUAAUCAACCCGCGGUUCAUGAAAGCCGAGCCCUGUGUCUUAGACUCUUUGUGCUUUAGACCCUGUACUCCUAAGAAAUUGUUGCGCAGUCCAGGAAUUAAAGGAAACAAAAAAAUAGAUUUAGAAAUUGAUUUUGAGUAUAAAAAUAAUUGUAAAAUUACAUAAUUCAUAGAAAAUUCAUAAGAAGUCCAAAUUAAUCCAUUCCAAUUCCUAUAAUUUUGUAAUAUUAUUGUUUAUCAUCUAGUAUCACUGUUUUGACAUGAAAGUCAGAUAAAAAAAUUUAUAUCCUAUUUAAUCUUGUACAAAACACAUAGAAUCGUUAGAAAUUCAUAACUUAAAAUCUAUAACUCCAAAUUGACCCGUUCCAGUUGCGUUAGCUUCAUAUGAACAUUUACUAAGCAAUAACGAUAUUUAUUAUACCAUGUCUCAUUCUUUUAUAAUUAGAUCUUUAUUUAACUUAUGUUGGUUAGUCUUGUUAAUCUGCUUAUCAUAAUAAUCUACUAAUAUCUGAUCUAUGGUCAAUUUAUAAUUUAGAUUAAAGUUGAAUUAAUUACUACUUUAGGUCAUCUUUUCUCUGGAAUUAUAAAAUAAAUAUAGAACCUAGUUUUAACUUGAUGACCACGACUCCGACCUUAGUAGUUCUCGAUCCCACGAUCUCGUAGCAACGCGUAGAUUAUCAUUAUGCAGUUUGUUCUUAUGUUUGGUGUGAUGUUAAUUUUGUCUAUACCAUGUCUGUUUGUAUUUCUACGACUAGCAGUGAGGUCACGAGGAUUGAAGAAUCACCCUAGUACCUGGAAUCUCAAGUCCCAGGCAAGUUGUGUCCUUGAUCACUUUUGUUUACCCAAUAAUGUUCUUUAUUAUCACUAUUCAAUGCAUAGGUUUAAUUUUGAUGGGACCGAAUAGGUCACCCUAGUCUGUUUCUCUUUUUUACCUUGUUUACCCCUAAAUCAUUUGGGUAGUUAUGCUAUUGCUUUAUAUGGUUUUGGGUUAAUAUUUCAUUAUAUCCAUGUUCCAAUUAUUCUGUUAUGUUAUUUAUGUUCAUGUCAAGAUCAUUAUCUUUAAUUGGAACAUGGAGCUUAACUUGAGAAACACGUGCCACCACAAGGAAAGCUAGUGGAAGACUACCUUACCCGAAAGGGGCAAGGGCAGUAGGGGAGUUGCAUGCAGGGAGGUUCUCGGGUUGAUUUUGCUGCGAAAGCGGUCAGACGAAGGAUUCUUGCAAGUGCUCUUCCCAUAAACUGUAGCGGGUUUUCAGAAGCUAGUGGAACUUUGUAAAGACCUCAUAGUGUUACCCUGCCUCGCUUCCUUAGUAGAGGUGUAUGAGAUUCAUGACCCCUUGGGAGAUGGGUAACAUGACUUGUGGGUAUAGGGUACAACCUCUAGAAAAAGUAAAACUAGUAUACUAGCCGAGCUCACGGUCAUGAGCAGCUCAGGACUCUUGCAUGAUUAAAUAUGGAACUUAAAUUCAAUUUGUCAUUCGCAUUGCAUGGGAUUAUUUAUUAAUUUUGUUCUAUUAUUUAUUAUGGUUUGGUAUUUACUUACAUUUAGUAACUGCUAAUAAAAUUAGACCAACUUAUUAAAAGCAAUGCUCAGCUUAAUAAACCCCUAUUGUUAAUCAGCCUUACACUUCACAUGAACUCCCACCUUUGGUGAGUUCAUGCACAUUAUUCCCCACAACUUGUUGAGCGAUGAACAUGAGUGAGCUCACCCUUGCUGUAUCACACCCCCUCACAGGAGAAGAACAGGUGGUUCAAGAGGAGCCACACAAUGUGGAGUUCGAUUUGAUCUAGGUGGCGUCUCCCAGUCGACUUUAUGGCGCCAAGGAUGGACUUUAGUUCGAUCUAUAUUUUAUCCUGUAAGACUUUCACUAUGUAAUAAGUACUCUGAUUAUAUUGUGACAUUU